ACUCCUACGGGAGGCAGCAGUGGGGAAUAUUGCACAAUGGGGGAAACCCUGAUGCAGCCAUGCCGCGUGUGUGAAGAAGGCCUUGGGUUGUAAAGCACUUUCUAGUAGGGAGGAAGGUAGUGUAGUUAACACCUGCAUUAUUUGUACGUUACCUACAGAAGAAGCACCGGCUAACUCCGUGCCAGCAGCCGCGGUAAGUACGGAGGGUGCGAGCGUUAAUCGGAAUUACUGGGCGUAAAGCGCAUGCAGGCGGCCUGUUAAGUCAGAUGUGAAAGCCCGGGGCUUAACCUCGGAAUUGCAUUUGAAACUGGCAGGCUAGAGUCUUGUAGAGGGGUUAGGAAUUUCAGGUGUAGCGGUGAAAUGCGUAGAGAUCUGAAGGAAUACCAGUGGCGAA
Molecule: ribosomal RNA, 394 nt
Filed under: uncultured bacterium
Lineage: Bacteria
Description: bacterial SSU rRNA
Rfam family: Bacterial small subunit ribosomal RNA
Source: RNAcentral